RNAcentral lists this ribosomal RNA (477 nucleotides) under uncultured bacterium. RNAcentral describes it as "partial 16S ribosomal RNA". It matches the Rfam family "Bacterial small subunit ribosomal RNA", at positions 28 to 507 of the family's 1533-position model. The record is from RNAcentral.
GACGAACGCUGGCGGCGUGCUUAACACAUGCAAGUCGAACGGUGAAGCGCCUUCCUUUUGGGUUGGUGUGGAUGAGUGGCGAACGGGUGAGUAACACGUGAGUAACCUGCCCCCUUCUUCUGGAUAACCGCAUGAAAGUGUGGCUAAGACGGGAUAUUCUGGGGCUGUCGCAUGAUGGGUCUGGGAAAGAUAUUGUUUCGGUGGGGGAUGGUCUCGCGGCCUGUGGGGUAGUUGGUGGGGUGAUGGGCUUCGAAGGGUGGGGCGGGUGGGCGGGCUGAGUGGGACUGAGACAAGGCCGAGACUCAGACGGGAGGCAGAAGGGUGGAGGAGUGAACAAUGGGAGAAAGCCUGAUGCAGCGACGACGCGUGAGCGAUGGAGGCCUGCGGGUUGUGAACCUCUUCCGCCAGUGAAGCAGGUCUGCCUGGUUUGUGGGUGGGUUGACGGUAGCUGGAUAAGAAGCGCCGGCUAACUACGUG